CGGAUGUGUCCUACGGGAUAAAGAUUUAUCGCUUGGAGAGGGGCCUGCUUCCUAUCAGCUAGUUGGUAAGGUAAUGGCUUACCAAGGCAAUGACGGGUAAUUGGUCUGAGAGGAUGACCAGUCACAAUGGAACUGAGACACGGUCCAUACUCCUACGGGAGGCAGCAGUGAGGAAUCUUCCACAAUGGGCGAAAGCCUGAUGGAGCGACACCGCGUGAAGGAUGAAGGAUUUGUUUUCGUAAACUUCUUUUCUCUGGGAAGAUAAUGACGGUACCAGAGGAAUAAGGGACGGCUAACUACGUGCCAGCAGCCGCGGUAAUACGUAGGUCCCAAGCGUUAUCCGGAAUUACUGGGCGUAAAGCGUCUGUAGGCGGAUGGGUAAGUUUUGUAUGAAAGACCGGAGCUCAACUCCGUG
RNAcentral lists this ribosomal RNA (415 nucleotides) under uncultured bacterium. Its description in RNAcentral is "bacterial SSU rRNA". It matches the Rfam family "Bacterial small subunit ribosomal RNA", at positions 170 to 619 of the family's 1533-position model. The record is from RNAcentral.